AACGUAGGAGACAAACGUUAUCCGGAGUUACUGGGCGUAAAGGGCGUGUAGGCGGUUUGUUAAGUCUGGCGUGAAAGCUCUCGGCUAAACCGGGAGAGGUCGUUGGAUACUGGCAAACUAGAGGAUGGUAGAGGCGUGUGGAAUUCCGGGUGUAGUGAUGAAAUGCGUAGAGAUCCGGAGGAACACCAGUGGCGAAGGCGACACGCUGGGCCAUACCUGACGCUAAAGCGCGACAGCAUGGGGAGCAAACGGG
This 253-nucleotide ribosomal RNA is filed under the name uncultured bacterium. RNAcentral's name for it is "partial 16S ribosomal RNA". It matches the Rfam family "Bacterial small subunit ribosomal RNA", at positions 524 to 776 of the family's 1533-position model. The record is from RNAcentral.